This is a long non-coding RNA of Rhododendron vialii, 641 nucleotides long. RefSeq lists it as uncharacterized. The transcript has 4 exons. NCBI's taxonomy places the organism in Eukaryota, Viridiplantae, Streptophyta, Magnoliopsida, Ericales, Ericaceae. The record is from RefSeq and is a predicted model, not a curated record.
CGAGACCACGAAGAGAGAGAGAGAGAGGAAGAAGAAAAAGAAGAAAACGAUUCACGCACAGACGACGAACAAGAAAAAGAUCGAAACAAACCCACACCAGAUCGACAAAAAACGAAGAAGAAGAAGACGAAGCAAAUCGAGUCAGAAGAAGAAGAACGAAGAUGAACAAGUUACACAUUCUUAAAGAGGAAAGGGUUCAAACUAGACCAAAGAAGAAAGGGAACAAAGAAGGAGAAAUGGAACAAGAACAUAUUUCCAGCGUCAAUCCAACCUCCUUGUUUCGACCAAAACUUAUGAACAUGUCUUCACAAGAUGUUAGGUUGGACAAUGACGAUGACGAAGAUUAUUAGGUCUUCACAAGCUUAUGAGGUCUUGCAAAGGAUGAAGCUGCUUUUGUUUUAUUUGAUUUUUUGUGGAACUAUGAUGUAAUAUUGUUGGACUUAGUAGUUGUAAUCUUGUUUAAGGGCUAGAAUUCUGGAUGGUUUUUAUUUUUAGUGGCUUGAUUGUGGGUGUUGCGAAACGGUUGGUUUUUUUUGUAGUCUGGGUAAGUUAGAUUGGUUGUUGCAACUCCAUUUUUUGGUAGAUUGGAUGAACUUUGAUUGCUUGAAUGGAAAAGAGAGUGGUGUUCUGGCCCAUUUUUA